RNAcentral lists this ribosomal RNA (305 nucleotides) under Salmonella enterica subsp. enterica serovar Infantis. RNAcentral's name for it is "partial 23S ribosomal RNA". It matches the Rfam family "Bacterial large subunit ribosomal RNA", at positions 711 to 1013 of the family's 2925-position model. Lineage: Bacteria; Pseudomonadati; Pseudomonadota; Gammaproteobacteria; Enterobacterales; Enterobacteriaceae. The record is from RNAcentral. RNAcentral also lists the same sequence under 3 other names.
AGACCCGAAACCCGGUGAUCUAGCCAUGGGCAGGUUGAAGGUUGGGUAACACUAACUGGAGGACCGAACCGACUAAUGUUGAAAAAUUAGCGGAUGACCUGUGGCUGGGGGUGAAAGGCCAAUCAAACCGGGAGAUAGCUGGUUCUCCCCGAAAGCUAUUUAGGUAGCGCCUCGUGAAUUCAUCUCCGGGGGUAGAGCACUGUUUCGGCUAGGGGGCCAUCCCGGCUUACCAACCCGAUGCAAACUGCGAAUACCGGAGAAUGUUAUCACGGGAGACACACGGCGGGUGCUAACGUCCGUCGUGA